CAUAGGUUAAUGAGGCGAACCGGGGGAACUGAAACAUCUAAGUACCCCGAGGAAAAGAAAUCAACCGAGAUUCCCCCAGUAGCGGCGAGCGAACGGGGAGGAGCCCAGAGCCUGAAUCAGUGUGUGUGUUAGUGGAAGCGUCUGGAAAGGCGCGCGAUACAGGGUGACAGCCCCGUACACAAAAAUGCACAUACUGUGAGCUCGAUGAGUAGGGCGGGACACGUGGUAUCCUGUCUGAAUAUGGGGGGACCAUCCUCCAAGGCUAAAUACUCCUGACUGACCGAUAGUGAACCAGUACCGUGAGGGAAAGGCGAAAAGAACCCCGGCGAGGGGAGUGAAAAAGAACCUGAAACCGUGUACGUACAAGCAGUGGGAGCCUCUUAAUGGGGUGACUGCGUACCUUUUGUAUAAUGGGUCAGCGACUUAUAUUCUGUAGCAAGGUUAACCGAAUAGGGGAGCCGAAGGGAAACCGAGUCUUAACUGGGCGUUAAGUUGCAGGGUAUAGACCCGAAACCCGGUGAUCUAGCCAUGGGCAGGUUGAAGGUUGGGUAACACUAACUGGAGGACCGAACCGACUAAUGUUGAAAAAUUAGCGGAUGACUUGUGGCUGGGGGUGAAAGGCCAAUCAAACCGGGAGAUAGCUGGUUCUCCCCGAAAGCUAUUUAGGUAGCGCCUCGUGAAUUCAUCUCCGGGGGUAGAGCACUGUUUCGGCAAGGGGGUCAUCCCGACUUACCAACCCGAUGCAAACUGCGAAUACCGGAGAAUGUUAUCACGGGAGACACACGGCGGGUGCUAACGUCCGUCGUGAAGAGGGAAACAACCCAGACCGCCAGCUAAGGUCCCAAAGUCAUGGUUAAGUGGGAAACGAUGUGGGAAGGCCCAGACAGCCAGGAUGUUGGCUUAGAAGCAGCCAUCAUUUAAAGAAAGCGUAAUAGCUCACUGGUCGAGUCGGCCUGCGCGGAAGAUGUAACGGGGCUAAACCAUGCACCGAAGCUGCGGCAGCGACGCUUAUGCGUUGUUGGGUAGGGGAGCGUUCUGUAAGCCUGUGAAGGUGGCCUGUGAGGGUUGCUGGAGGUAUCAGAAGUGCGAAUGCUGACAUAAGUAACGAUAAAGCGGGUGAAAAGCCCGCUCGCCGGAAGACCAAGGGUUCCUGUCCAACGUUAAUCGGGGCAGGGUGAGUCGACCCCUAAGGCGAGGCCGAAAGGCGUAGUCGAUGGGAAACAGGUUAAUAUUCCUGUACUUGGUGUUACUGCGAAGGGGGGACGGAGAAGGCUAUGUUGGCCGGGCGACGGUUGUCCCGGUUUAAGCGUGUAGGCUGGUUUUCCAGGCAAAUCCGGAAAAUCAAGGCUGAGGCGUGAUGACGAGGCACUACGGUGCUGAAGCGACAAAUGCCCUGCUUCCAGGAAAAGCCUCUAAGCAUCAGGUAACAUUAAAUCGUACCCCAAACCGACACAGGUGGUCAGGUAGAGAAUACCAAGGCGCUUGAGAGAACUCGGGUGAAGGAACUAGGCAAAAUGGUGCCGUAACUUCGGGAGAAGGCACGCUGAUAUGUAGGUGAAGCGACUUGCUCGUGGAGCUGAAAUCAGUCGAAGAUACCAGCUGGCUGCAACUGUUUAUUAAAAACACAGCACUGUGCAAACACGAAAGUGGACGUAUACGGUGUGACGCCUGCCCGGUGCCGGAAGGUUAAUUGAUGGGGUUAGCGGUAACGCGAAGCUCUUGAUCGAAGCCCCGGUAAACGGCGGCCGUAACUAUAACGGUCCUAAGGUAGCGAAAUUCCUUGUCGGGUAAGUUCCGACCUGCACGAAUGGCGUAAUGAUGGCCAGGCUGUCUCCACCCGAGACUCAGUGAAAUUGAACUCGCUGUGAAGAUGCAGUGUACCCGCGGCAAGACGGAAAGACCCCGUGAACCUUUACUAUAGCUUGACACUGAACAUUGAGCCUUGAUGUGUAGGAUAGGUGGGAGGCUUUGAAGUGUGGACGCCAGUCUGCAUGGAGCCGACCUUGAAAUACCACCCUUUAAUGUUUGAUGUUCUAACGUGGGCCCCUUACCGGGGUUGCGGACAGUGUCUGGUGGGUAGUUUGACUGGGGCGGUCUCCUCCUAAAGAGUAACGGAGGAGCACGAAGGUUGGCUAAUCCUGGUCGGACAUCAGGAGGUUAGUGCAAUGGCAUAAGCCAGCUUGACUGCGAGCGUGACGGCGCGAGCAGGUGCGAAAGCAGGUCAUAGUGAUCCGGUGGUUCUGAAUGGAAGGGCCAUCGCUCAACGGAUAAAAGGUACUCCGGGGAUAACAGGCUGAUACCGCCCAAGAGUUCAUAUCGACGGCGGUGUUUGGCACCUCGAUGUCGGCUCAUCACAUCCUGGGGCUGAAGUAGGUCCCAAGGGUAUGGCUGUUCGCCAUUUAAAGUGGUACGCGAGCUGGGUUUAGAACGUCGUGAGACAGUUCGGUCCCUAUCUGCCGUGGGCGCUGGAGAACUGAGGGGGGCUGCUCCUAGUACGAGAGGACCGGAGUGGACGCAUCACUGGUGUUCGGGUUGUCAUGCCAAUGGCACUGCCCGGUAGCUAAAUGCGGAAGAGAUAAGUGCUGAAAGCAUCUAAGCACGAAACUUGCCCCGAGAUGAGUUCUCCCUGACUCCUUGAGAGUCCUGAAGGAACGUUGAAGACGACGACGUUGAUAGGCCGGGUGUGUAAGCGCAGCGAUGCGUUGAGCUAACCGGUACUAAUGAACCGUGAGG
Molecule: ribosomal RNA, 2733 nt
Filed under: Escherichia coli
Lineage: Bacteria; Pseudomonadati; Pseudomonadota; Gammaproteobacteria; Enterobacterales; Enterobacteriaceae
Also listed under: 1 other name
Description: partial 23S ribosomal RNA
Rfam family: Bacterial large subunit ribosomal RNA
Source: RNAcentral